AAAGUCGUAACAAGGUUUCCGUAGGUGAACCUGCGGAAGGAUCAUUACCGAGUUCAUGCCCUUCGGGGUAGAUCUCCACCCUUGCUUAUCUUACCUGUUGCUUUGGCGGUUCGUCUCUCGAGCCACCGGCCUUGGCUGGUGUGUGACCGCCAGAGAAUCAUCAACUCUGAAUUAUUAGCGUCGUCUGAGUACUAUACAAUAGUUAAAACUUUCAACAACGGAUCUCUUGGUUCUG
RNAcentral lists this unclassified non-coding RNA (235 nucleotides) under Ascomycota sp. RNAcentral's name for it is "partial contains small subunit ribosomal RNA, internal transcribed spacer 1, and 5.8S ribosomal RNA". The stretch from base 1 to 47 matches the Rfam family "Eukaryotic small subunit ribosomal RNA", at positions 1785 to 1831 of the family's 1831-position model. The record is from RNAcentral. Lineage: Eukaryota; Fungi; Ascomycota.